RNAcentral lists this ribosomal RNA (282 nucleotides) under uncultured Gammaproteobacteria bacterium. Its description in RNAcentral is "partial 16S ribosomal RNA". It matches the Rfam family "Bacterial small subunit ribosomal RNA", at positions 30 to 314 of the family's 1533-position model. Lineage: Bacteria; Pseudomonadati; Pseudomonadota; Gammaproteobacteria. The record is from RNAcentral.
AUUGAACGCUGGCGGCAGGCCUAACACAUGCAAGUCGAGCGGUAACAUUUCUAGCUUGCUAGAAGAUGACGAGCGGCGGACGUGUGAGUAACGCGUAGGAAUCUGCCCAGUAGUGGGGGACAACAGUUGGAAACGACUGCUAAUACCGCAUACGCCCUACGGGGGAAAGGGGGCUUCGGCUCUCGCUAUUGGAUGAGCCUGCGUGAGAUUAGCUGGUUGGUGAGGUAAUGGCUCACCAAGGCGACGAUCUCUAGCUGGUUUGAGAGGAUGAUCAGCCACACU